GGGUUGUGAGGUUAAGCGACUAAGCGUACACGGUGGAUGCCCUGGCAGUCAGAGGCGAUGAAGGGCGUGCUAAUCUGCGAUAAGCGCCGGUAAGGUGAUAUGAACCGUUAUAACCGGCGAUACCCGAAUGGGGAAACCCAGUGUGACUCGUCACACUAUCAUUAACUGAAUCCAUAGGUUAAUGAGGCGAACCGGGGGAACUGAAACAUCUAAGUACCCCGAGGAAAAGAAAUCAACCGAGAUUCCCCCAGUAGCGGCGAGCGAACGGGGAGGAGCCCAGAGCCUGAAUCAGCAUGUGUGUUAGUGGAAGCGUCUGGAAAGGCGCGCGAUACAGGGUGACAGCCCCGUACACAAAAGCGCAUGUGCUGUGAGCUCGAUGAGUAGGGCGGGACACGUGGUAUCCUGUCUGAAUAUGGGGGGACCAUCCUCCAAGGCUAAAUACUCCUGACUGACCGAUAGUGAACCAGUACCGUGAGGGAAAGGCGAAAAGAACCCCGGCGAGGGGAGUGAAAAAGAACCUGAAACCGUGUACGUACAAGCAGUGGGAGCACAGGUUUACCUGUGUGACUGCGUACCUUUUGUAUAAUGGGUCAGCGACUUAUAUUCUGUAGCAAGGUUAACCGAAUAGGGGAGCCGGAGGGAAACCGAGUCUUAACCGGGCGUUAAGUUGCAGGGUAUAGACCCGAAACCCGGUGAUCUAGCCAUGGGCAGGUUGAAGGUUGGGUAACACUAACUGGAGGACCGAACCGACUAAUGUUGAAAAAUUAGCGGAUGACCUGUGGCUGGGGGUGAAAGGCCAAUCAAACCGGGAGAUAGCUGGUUCUCCCCGAAAGCUAUUUAGGUAGCGCCUCGUGAAUUCAUCUCCGGGGGUAGAGCACUGUUUCGGCUAGGGGGCCAUCCCGGCUUACCAACCCGAUGCAAACUGCGAAUACCGGAGAAUGUUAUCACGGGAGACACACGGCGGGUGCUAACGUCCGUCGUGAAGAGGGAAACAACCCAGACCGCCAGCUAAGGUCCCAAAGUCAUGGUUAAGUGGGAAACGAUGUGGGAAGGCCCAGACAGCCAGGAUGUUGGCUUAGAAGCAGCCAUCAUUUAAAGAAAGCGUAAUAGCUCACUGGUCGAGUCGGCCUGCGCGGAAGAUGUAACGGGGCUAAACCAUGCACCGAAGCUGCGGCAGCGANNGUUGGGUAGGGGAGCGUUCUGUAAGCCUGUGAAGGUGGCCUGUGAGGGUUGCUGGAGGUAUCAGAAGUGCGAAUGCUGACAUAAGUAACGAUAAAGCGGGUGAAAAGCCCGCUCGCCGGAAGACCAAGGGUUCCUGUCCAACGUUAAUCGGGGCAGGGUGAGUCGACCCCUAAGGCGAGGCCGAAAGGCGUAGUCGAUGGGAAACGGGUUAAUAUUCCCGUACUUGGUGUUACUGCGAAGGGGGGACGGAGAAGGCUAUGUUGGCCGGGCGACGGUUGUCCCGGUUUAAGCGUGUAGGUGUGUGUUCCAGGUAAAUCCGGUUCACUUUAACACUGAGGCGUGAUGACGAGGCACUACGGUGCUGAAGUAACAAAUGCCCUGCUUCCAGGAAAAGCCUCUAAGCAUCAGGUAACAUCAAAUCGUACCCCAAACCGACACAGGUGGUCAGGUAGAGAAUACCAAGGCGCUUGAGAGAACUCGGGUGAAGGAACUAGGCAAAAUGGUGCCGUAACUUCGGGAGAAGGCACGCUGACACGUAGGUGAAGUGAUUUACUCAUGGAGCUGAAGUCAGUCGAAGAUACCAGCUGGCUGCAACUGUUUAUUAAAAACACAGCACUGUGCAAACACGAAAGUGGACGUAUACGGUGUGACGCCUGCCCGGUGCCGGAAGGUUAAUUGAUGGGGUCAGCGCAAGCGAAGCUCCUGAUCGAAGCCCCGGUAAACGGCGGCCGUAACUAUAACGGUCCUAAGGUAGCGAAAUUCCUUGUCGGGUAAGUUCCGACCUGCACGAAUGGCGUAAUGAUGGCCAGGCUGUCUCCACCCGAGACUCAGUGAAAUUGAACUCGCUGUGAAGAUGCAGUGUACCCGCGGCAAGACGGAAAGACCCCGUGAACCUUUACUAUAGCUUGACACUGAACAUUGAGCCUUGAUGUGUAGGAUAGGUGGGAGGCUUUGAAGUGUGGACGCCAGUCUGCAUGGAGCCGACCUUGAAAUACCACCCUUUAAUGUUUGAUGUUCUAACGUGGACCCGUUACCCGGGUUGCGGACAGUGUCUGGUGGGUAGUUUGACUGGGGCGGUCUCCUCCUAAAGAGUAACGGAGGAGCACGAAGGUUGGCUAAUCCUGGUCGGACAUCAGGAGGUUAGUGCAAUGGCAUAAGCCAGCUUGACUGCGAGCGUGACGGCGCGAGCAGGUGCGAAAGCAGGUCAUAGUGAUCCGGUGGUUCUGAAUGGAAGGGCCAUCGCUCAACGGAUAAAAGGUACUCCGGGGAUAACAGGCUGAUACCGCCCAAGAGUUCAUAUCGACGGCGGUGUUUGGCACCUCGAUGUCGGCUCAUCACAUCCUGGGGCUGAAGUAGGUCCCAAGGGUAUGGCUGUUCGCCAUUUAAAGUGGUACGCGAGCUGGGUUUAGAACGUCGUGAGACAGUUCGGUCCCUAUCUGCCGUGGGCGCUGGAGAACUGAGGGGGGCUGCUCCUAGUACGAGAGGACCGGAGUGGACGCAUCACUGGUGUUCGGGUUGUCAUGCCAAUGGCACUGCCCGGUAGCUAAAUGCGGAAGAGAUAAGUGCUGAAAGCAUCUAAGCACGAAACUUGCCCCGAGAUGAGUUCUCCCUGAGACUU
This 2800-nucleotide ribosomal RNA is filed under the name Salmonella enterica subsp. enterica serovar Dublin. RNAcentral describes it as "bacterial LSU rRNA". It matches the Rfam family "Bacterial large subunit ribosomal RNA". Lineage: Bacteria; Pseudomonadati; Pseudomonadota; Gammaproteobacteria; Enterobacterales; Enterobacteriaceae. The record is from RNAcentral.